This is a long non-coding RNA of Prunus dulcis (almond), 598 nucleotides long. RefSeq lists it as uncharacterized. The transcript has 2 exons. The record is from RefSeq and is a predicted model, not a curated record. NCBI's taxonomy places the organism in Eukaryota, Viridiplantae, Streptophyta, Magnoliopsida, Rosales, Rosaceae.
AAUGAUUAAACCUUAACCCUCGGGCCCUUAAGAGUCCCAAACGAGAGUGAGAGGAGAUCUGAGAAAAUGAGAGAUGACAAACACAGAGGUGGUCUGGAAACCCUAACAAUGGCAUUGGCUCUGUGAUAGGAGCCUUCGCUGGAGAUCAGAGACAUGAGCGUGAAGAAAGAGAGAGACGACACGACGGGGCAUGAAGAAAAGCUCCUCCAAUGCGAUUCUUGUUUUGCGAGGUUUAACGCCUCGAUGGCCGCCAUUGAUCCACGAUCGGAUCCGUUCAAGAUCUUACCGUUGAAAUCGCGUAGUAAUUAACUCACCAAGACCAGAGAUCUGAUGGGGCUAGGUACACUCCCUGGCAGCUUGCUCAAGAUGCGAUAGGGUGCGAUGUGGAUUAAUAGAGGCACUGACAGCGGGCCUUCCAUAUCUUUAAGGUUUUACCCCUUACUCUUUUAAGCAUGUGGAUGUAUGUUUUUCUUUUGUAAAAUGUCAUCUUUGGUUUUUAAAUGGAAACAAAAUGAGCAAAAUAAGUUUCCAGAGUCAAUUAGCAUACUAUUGUUGAAAACUUGAACGAUAUAUCUGACAAAAACAAAAUUGGCACACA